This is a long non-coding RNA of Callithrix jacchus (white-tufted-ear marmoset), 457 nucleotides long. RefSeq lists it as uncharacterized. The record is from RefSeq and is a predicted model, not a curated record. Lineage: Eukaryota; Metazoa; Chordata; Mammalia; Primates; Cebidae.
UGUCGGGGUGGGGGAAGGGCGAGGCGGCGGCGGACGCGGCCCUUGCGGGGGCUCCUCGGCUGCCUCCAACCUCGCCCCGCGCCAGCGCGACCUCGCUAUCCCGCAGUUAUGUGUCCAGUGUCCCCUGUAUUCUGGGAUUUUCUUCUUUGUAGUCCCACUGCUACCCCAGGGCCCAGCACCCAGCUGCAGCCCGAAAUACUUGUUGACUUAAUGAAACAAGGCGAUCACAAAGGAAGGGAAAAUGGAACAAGGAAUGAAAUUUAGUGAAAUCUCAGAUGCCCAAGAUCACUAAGGCUAUGUAACAUUGCUUUAGAAUUCUGGCAUCCAUAUUGAAAGGCAGGGGAUUGGUGGAUUCUUCUAGGAAGGAAAUGAUCAGCCCAAGAGGAAAGCAAAGCAAAGCAAAGUGCAGCAAACAAAACAAAAGAAAACAUGACAGCUGGGGAGUCCUUCAAUGAAA